UGGGGAAUAUUGCACAAUGGGCGCAAGCCUGAUGCAGCGAUGCCGCGUGAGGGAAGAAGGUUUUCGGAUUGUAAACCUCUGUCAUCAGGGACGAAAAAGGACGGUACCUGAGAAGGAAGCUCCGGCUAACUACGUGCCAGCAGCCGCGGUAAUACGUAGGGAGCAAGCGUUAUCCGGAAUUACUGGGUGUAAAGGGAGUGUAGGCGGAGAUGCAAGUCGGGAGUGAAAUCCAUGGGCUUAACCCAUGAACUGCUUUCGAAACUGUAUCCCUUGAGUAUCGGAGAGGCAAGCGGAAUUCCUAGUGUAGCGGUGAAAUGCGUAGAUAUUAGGAGGAACACCAGUGGCGAAGGCGGCUUGCUGGACGACAACUGACGCUGAGGCGCGAAAGCGUGGGGAGC
RNAcentral lists this ribosomal RNA (398 nucleotides) under uncultured Ruminococcus sp. RNAcentral's name for it is "bacterial SSU rRNA". It matches the Rfam family "Bacterial small subunit ribosomal RNA", at positions 355 to 769 of the family's 1533-position model. The record is from RNAcentral. Lineage: Bacteria; Bacillati; Bacillota; Clostridia; Eubacteriales; Oscillospiraceae.